AAAACAAUAAAAUUUUAUCUCCAACAGUUUGCUAAAUGAGGUUGCUAUUUUUAACGACUUGUAUUCCACCCCUCCGCGCGCGCAUCUUUACGCGCGCGUAUCUCACUUCGCAUCGCGAGCUGCAGGCGUCUCACCGUCGGUACUGCUGUCAGGUGUCAGUUGAUGCACAGCACCUUGCCGCCCUUGUGAUGUUGCUGUCGGCUGUCAGGUGAUGCACCACGCCUCGCCGUUGUCAGGUGUGCUGAUGCUGCUGGUGGCCGGCAGUUUCUGCUUUGUUCCUGACGCGGAUGCACUGAUUUUGCUGCCUAUUUAUGAAUGCGGAUGCUCCUUGUUUCCUGUUUC
RNAcentral lists this long non-coding RNA (342 nucleotides) under Sorghum bicolor (sorghum). RNAcentral's name for it is "long non-coding RNA (SBIC_LNC001753)". Lineage: Eukaryota; Viridiplantae; Streptophyta; Magnoliopsida; Poales; Poaceae. The record is from RNAcentral.